Molecule: ribosomal RNA, 253 nt
Filed under: uncultured bacterium
Lineage: Bacteria
Description: partial 16S ribosomal RNA
Rfam family: Bacterial small subunit ribosomal RNA
Source: RNAcentral
UACGGGGGGGGCAAGCGUUGUUCGGAAUUACUGGGCGUAAAGGGCGCGUAGGCGGCCUACUAAGUCGGACGUGAAAUCCCUCGGCUCAACCGGGGAACUGCGUCCGAUACUGGUGGGCUUGAAUCCGGGAGAGGGAUGUGGAAUUCCCAGUGUAGAGGUGAAAUUCGUAGAUAUUGGGAAGAACACCGGUGGCGAAGGCGGCGAGCUGGUCCAUUACUGACGCUGAGGCGCGACAGCGUGGGGAGCAAACAGG